UACGAAGGGGGCUAGCGUUGCUCGGAAUCACUGGGCGUAAAGCGCACGUAGGCGGGUCGUUAAGUCAGGGGUGAAAUCCUGGAGCUCAACUCCAGAACUGCCCUUGAUACUGGCGAUCUCGAGUUCGGGAGAGGUGAGUGGAACUGCGAGUGUAGAGGUGAGAUUCGUAGAUAUUCGCAAGAACACCAGUGGCGAAGGCGGCUCACUGGCCCGAUACUGACGCUGAGGUGCGAAAGCGUGGGGAGCAAACGGG
This 253-nucleotide ribosomal RNA is filed under the name uncultured prokaryote. RNAcentral's name for it is "partial 16S ribosomal RNA". It matches the Rfam family "Bacterial small subunit ribosomal RNA", at positions 524 to 776 of the family's 1533-position model. The record is from RNAcentral.